UGGGGAAUAUUGGACAAUGGGCGGAAGCCUGAUCCAGCCAUGCUGCGUGUGUGAAGAAGGCCUUUUGGUUGUAAAGCACUUUAAGCGAGGAGGAGGCUACUUGGAUUAAUACUCUAGGAUAGUGGACGUUACUCGCAGAAUAAGCACCGGCUAACUCUGUGCCAGCAGCCGCGGUAAUACAGAGGGUGCGAGCGUUAAUCGGAUUUACUGGGCGUAAAGCGUGCGUAGGCGGCUUCUUAAGUCGGAUGUGAAAUCCCUGAGCUUAACUUAGGAAUUGCAUUCGAUACUGGGAAGCUAGAGUAUGGGAGAGGAUGGUAGAAUUCCAGGUGUAGCGGUGAAAUGCGUAGAGAUCUGGAGGAAUACCGAUGGCGAAGGCAGCCAUCUGGCCUAAUACUGACGCUGAGGUACGAAAGCAUGGGGAGCAAACAGG
Molecule: ribosomal RNA, 430 nt
Filed under: bacterium
Lineage: Bacteria
Description: partial 16S ribosomal RNA
Rfam family: Bacterial small subunit ribosomal RNA
Source: RNAcentral